GGUGGCAGCCCCGAGGCGCUGGGUGUGCGGCGGCCGGGCAGCAAUAACCAGUGAUGAGGUGUCCUGGAGAUCAGAUGAGGAGAUAUGAGGAGCCAGAAAGCAUUUCUGAGCAUUCAAGUGUCGUAAUCAUGUUACUGCUCCUUGAGCUCAGCUGACACAAGGAGACAGGUAAACAUCUCCCACUGCCCAGGUAAGUGACAGUGCAUAAAUCUUCAGAACACCCUGAGGAAUAACAAGUCUUUUGCAACUUUGCCUUUGAAGGAGUUAGGCUUGCACGAUGGAUGGCAGCGGCGCCCAGCCGUAUUCGGAGGCAUAGCACAGCUCCCAACUCCCUUGCAGAGGUUUUAUCCUCAGCUGGAGGGAGGGUACAGCAAGCUGUGCGUCAGCACCGACUCUUGCAGCUGUAGUAACUUGUCAUUUCCUUUCCAAACACUAGCACCCUCAGCAAGGCAGUUGGCCUUGGGCCAAAAGCCAUUCCUGUAGUGUCUGUUCCUGCUAUGUACAUACUUGCCUGAUUCCCCAUGUGGGUUUCCCCACAACCAGUGCCACGUAUCUGUGUGUUGUCAGUGUGGUGACUUUGGGAGCAGCCUCUUCCAUUAUCAAGCCUUAGAGUGAGUUUACCUGAGAGUGUGUCCCUCUUCAGGGGAGCAAAGUGAUGCUUUUCUCUGCUCGUGCUGAAUCAUUUUUACCUGGCAAGGGUUUGGGAACUGUGAGGUCAUAUUUUAUUGUAGCAUAUUACAGCUGCAGAAAAGGUAUUGGAUUCUGGGUUUAUAUCAGAAGACUAAUUCUUGAUCAGGAUCAUAAAAUAUUUAGGUCUAGAACUUUGCCUUCACAGCUCUUUGUAAAGUAAUUGCUCUAGUAGUAGUGGCAAAAGAAAGGACAUGCUCAUUUAUGAUGCUUUAAAUCAGGCAAAUCAUUUCCGAAGACAAAUAACAAAACUGUAGCAGAGAGCUCUGGUGCAGGGCUCCUUCUUGGAUUGUAAACACUGCAAGACAGAAACCAUCAAUAUUUACACAGUACUCAGCCCAGCACAGUGCAGCUUCUCUGGCUGGGCCUUUGGAGGCACUAAUAGGAAUAUUAAAUCAUGCUGAAUACCUUCUUGCAAUAUUUACAGUUUAACCAUAACUAAGCGGGUGUGUGUGCCGAAUACUGUGGAUUUUGAGCAUGCAGCACCAGAACCAGAAAACCUGUGAUGAGGCCAAGCCUUGUGAUAUCUUCCCCCUGCUCAUCACAGGUGUGCUGCAGUGGUCGGGACCCUUUCUGGUGCCCCCAAUAUUCAUCAGAAGCAACUUAGAAGGAUGAUGUGAGAGUGUGUUACUGUGUGAGCUGUCACCAGUUGUGCCAAGGACUGUGGAUUGAAAAGUCAGGGGAGGAAAAAAAAGCAUUAAAAAUACCAUUGCUAUGUUGCCCUGUGGGCUUACAGAAAUGUGACACAGAGAAGAAUUAGCCUUUUGCGGUUUCAUGUUUCCCUGACCUUUUAAGAGAGGAAGAAAAAAACAAAUCCAGCUUCUGCUCCCAGCUACAAUGCUGAAAGUCCAGAGCAAAUGUAAUACACUGGCUCCUCAGGUGCGAGAGCAGAGUUUCAUGUUGUCUAUUGAAAAGCAGAGAGAGAGCUGAGGUGUAAAGAUCAUUUAACAAAAGCCAUGUGAGUUCAAAGAUAAACCUCCAUCCCAGGCAAGUGUAAUUAUUGGUGUUUGAGUGUAAUUUUGGUGUUUAACCUGUUCUGGUGGGAUUUCUGCCUUGAUGUCAGUGUGAGGUAAAGCAGAAAACAUGUGGCUCCUUGAGCACGAUGCCCUUGUAUGUAUGAGCUUGGAAUGUGCCACAAGGGAGGACUCCUGGGCACCAGCACUGCAGCUGACAGCUCCUGGCAGUGGCAACCACUGCUGAUACAUGUGGCAGGGAUGCUGUGACAGCACCUGCAAUCACACCACUUGACACUUGGGAAGGCCUUGAACAGUUAGUGUUGAGCUUACACAUGCUACUUGAUAUGAAAACAGUUCCAGUUAAAAAUUAUUUCAGAAUUGUUGUUUUUGCUUAUGCAACUGUUGACAAACAAAACCUGCUUGGAUUAUACUUUAAUGGCAAACUCUGCAUGCUUCAACAGGUUCUCUUUGUUUUGGCUUGAUUUCUUGGUUUUAUUUCCCACCUUCCACUAAAGGAAAUUUUUAUCUCAGAAAGAGAAAAUACAGGAGGUGGGCUGCUUCCUACCUGAAAUCCCAGCAUUGCCUGGCAGAAGCUGAUAGACAUGAAUCAUCACAAUGAAUGCAAUACUGCACACAAGUAGCUUUUUUUUUACAAGCACAAGGUUGUUAAGCAAAGGAUGAGAAACACGUGGAGUACACUGCCGUUUGCUAAUGUAUGGCUGGGUUCCCAGGUCCGUGUACAUUCUUGCAGACAGGCUCCAGUUGUCAUGAUGCUAUUGCCAGGAAAGAUGUCAACAAAAGGAAACCUCUUGUCAGUUGAAGCAUUAGGUUAGUAAUACAAAAGAGUACUUCAUAGAGUCUUUCAGAUCGAUACACACCAGCUAUUUGUCAAAGAUGUUUUUCUCUUAUAUGUAGUCAUGCAGCCUCUUUGACAUAAGUCACCUUAUUUUUACAUUUUUUAAAUAACAGCAAUAUUUACUAUGUGGUGAAUCAAGGCAAUGAGCAAGAUCAUAGGAUCCUCUUGCAGAGGAUCAUGACUUAAAAUCUGUGUGUUUUAGGCAAAGCAUACCUGGGUUCAUUUGAAGACUGACACAUGGACAUGUUUCCAUUGAAGUUGUUACAGGUUUGUCUUUAUGUAUGCCUCCACUAAAUUUUACAGCUGACAAUUAGUCUGGGAUGAAGUCUGGUUUCUCUCCCAACACUGCAAAUGCAAUUGUGUAACUUCACUAAAAUUCCAAGCCUGGUUCUUAUGCUGGAUUGAAACAGUAGGUAGCGAGAUGAAGAGAGAAGUCACCCUUUCAAACUCUUCUUUCCCACUAUGACAGCUUACUUCAUGGAAGCAGCAGCAGCCAUCUGACCUGGAUUAUUUUUGGGUUGUGUUUAAUGCACACCACAUUCCCCUAGAGUUGCCACAGCUCCAAUAGCAAUGCCCUGCCCUGUGAAGGGCUUGCUGUUGCCCAGAGGCUUGCAUCUUCCUGCCCUCAGCUGGCUCCAUGAUACUGCCCUACGGCUGAUGCUACCUCUGAGGUUUGUGGAAAUUGAAGAAUUGUGGUCAUGGUGGCACUGAUGCACUAGGAAGGGAUGUCACAUAUUUAGAAACUAUUUACUGAAACAUGUUCUGAGGUAGGAAGGGAUUUCUCCCUUCAGCUGUUGCUACAGGUGUGAUUGUCCCACAGCAUAGCAAAUGCCAUCUCAGUUUUAGUGCAUCAUCUGUGAGCUGUCUGGCCCAUAUUAUUUUUUCUCUUUUUGUUGUCAGUUAUUGACUGGAGAGAUGAAGGAUGACACAUGCUAAAGUGCAUCAGUUAUCUCAAUUUCCUUCCCCUUAGGCCUUAGCCAGAAUUUACCAGAACAGUCUACAAAAUGAAGAUGUUUCAGUAUUUUUUUGUUUCAGCUCAUAGGAGUUUUCUUCUGAAGACUAACAGAAGGACUGGAGCACAGUGAGUUAUUAUUACAACUUCUUAUUAAAAAACAAACAAAAAAAAGACAAAAGAAAUUGCUGUAAGGUAACAAGUAAUAUAGCCCAACUUGUGCAUGCAGUAACUUCUCAGUGCUACAAAAAAAAUCAGGGAUGAUCACAGUCCUGAACACACACUCACAAAGCCAUUCCAGAUUGUAACUGUGAGUACCCAUAGUCAGUUCAACAGGAAAAAGUAAGAUACAGUAUUUUAAGGACAUGACUUUGAUCAUUCUCUAGUUUGAAGCCAGGGAUAAGUGAUAGGUUGCACAUUCCCACCGGGGGAAUAGGCUGGUUACAUUGGAAUGGGUUACCCUUUGCUAUUCAACAUCUCAGCUCCCUAGUUACCAUCUCCAACCUAAGGUGUUUGCCUCAGCACACGGUUGUUUACACAGUGACUUAUCUUACCUUGGUGAGAUAUUUGAUACCCAUGAAACAUCCGUCACACUCUGUCCUACUGCUUUUCUUUAACUCAAGGCAAGGCCCAUCCCUCUUCCAAAACCUUUGACAGCUUUGAAAUAUGGCAGUGUUGCUGUCGGUGUUGCUCAGGAGCCGUGCAGUGGUUGCUUUCUCCAAAGGCUCUGCAGCACCUCAGUAUUUCCUUCCCCCUCUUUGAAUAGAGGUGGCAAAAUCCAUAAUUUGUUUCCAUUCUGCUUGGCUGAAAAUGAGGAAAAAUUCAGCACUCUGUCAUGGAGAGAGUUAAGUGAAGACUCAAUAUGUUACAAUGAAGGCCUCUGCACCAGGAGUAGCCCAUAAUAGGUGGUGGCAAUGUCACAGCUCAACUAGUUUUUUAAUACAGCUCUUUUUUUUCUUC
Non-coding RNA from Sturnus vulgaris (Common starling), 4411 nucleotides. The record is from RefSeq and is a predicted model, not a curated record. Lineage: Eukaryota; Metazoa; Chordata; Aves; Passeriformes; Sturnidae.